This 1382-nucleotide ribosomal RNA is filed under the name uncultured bacterium. Its description in RNAcentral is "bacterial SSU rRNA". It matches the Rfam family "Bacterial small subunit ribosomal RNA", at positions 18 to 1395 of the family's 1533-position model. The record is from RNAcentral.
CCUGGCUCAGGAUGAACGCUAGCUACAGGCUUAACACAUGCAAGUCGAGGGGCAGCAUGGUCUUAGCUUGCUAAGACUGAUGGCGACCGGCGCACGGGUGAGUAACACGUAUCCAACCUGCCGUCUACUCUUGGACAGCCUUCUGAAAGGAAGAUUAAUACAAGAUGGCAUCAUGAGUCCGCAUGUUCACAUGAUUAAAGGUAUUCCGGUAGACGAUGGGGAUGCGUUCCAUUAGAUAGUAGGCGGGGUAACGGCCCACCUAGUCUUCGAUGGAUAGGGGUUCUGAGAGGAAGGUCCCCCACAUUGGAACUGAGACACGGUCCAAACUCCUACGGGAGGCAGCAGUGAGGAAUAUUGGUCAAUGGGCGAGAGCCUGAACCAGCCAAGUAGCGUGAAGGAUGACUGCCCUAUGGGUUGUAAACUUCUUUUAUAAAGGAAUAAAGUCGGGUAUGGAUACCCGUUUGCAUGUACUUUAUGAAUAAGGAUCGGCUAACUCCGUGCCAGCAGCCGCGGUAAUACGGAGGAUCCGAGCGUUAUCCGGAUUUAUUGGGUUUAAAGGGAGCGUAGAUGGAUGUUUAAGUCAGUUGUGAAAGUUUGCGGCUCAACCGUAAAAUUGCAGUUGAUACUGGAUAUCUUGAGUGCAGUUGAGGCAGGCGGAAUUCGUGGUGUAGCGGUGAAAUGCUUAGAUAUCACGAAGAACUCCGAUUGCGAAGGCAGCCUGCUAAGCUGCAACUGACAUUGAGGCUCGAAAGUGUGGGUAUCAAACAGGAUUAGAUACCCUGGUAGUCCACACGGUAAACGAUGAAUACUCGCUGUUUGCGAUAUACUGCAAGCGGCCAAGCGAAAGCGUUAAGUAUUCCACCUGGGGAGUACGCCGGCAACGGUGAAACUCAAAGGAAUUGACGGGGGCCCGCACAAGCGGAGGAACAUGUGGUUUAAUUCGAUGAUACGCGAGGAACCUUACCCGGGCUUAAAUUGCAGAUGAAUUACGGUGAAAGCCGUAAGCCGCAAGGCAUCUGUGAAGGUGCUGCAUGGUUGUCGUCAGCUCGUGCCGUGAGGUGUCGGCUUAAGUGCCAUGACGAGCGCAACCCUUGUUGUCAGUUACUAACAGGUUCCGCUGAGGACUCUGACAAGACUGCCAUCGUAAGAUGUGAGGAAGGUGGGGAUGACGUCAAAUCAGCACGGCCCUUACGUCCGGGGCUACACACGUGUUACAAUGGGGGGUACAGAGGGCCGCUACCACGCGAGUGGAUGCCAAUCCCCAAAACCUCUCUCAGUUCGGACUGGAGUCUGCAACCCGACUCCACGAAGCUGGAUUCGCUAGUAAUCGCGCAUCAGCCACGGCGCGGUGAAUACGUUCCCGGGCCUUGUACACACCGCCC